Vitis riparia (riverbank grape) is the source of this 315-nucleotide long non-coding RNA. RefSeq lists it as uncharacterized. The record is from RefSeq and is a predicted model, not a curated record. The transcript has 4 exons. NCBI's taxonomy places the organism in Eukaryota, Viridiplantae, Streptophyta, Magnoliopsida, Vitales, Vitaceae.
AGCCAUGACGAUGCAGCACAUAACCAAGCAGAGGAGCCAUACCAUAAAAGAUUGAGAGAAUCUAACACCCAUCUCAACCUUUAAACUCCAUCACCAGGUCAAGGAUAAAAUUGAUGAGCCAAUAGGUGAUGCUAAAGGUACAAUUGGAGCUUUGUGCAUAAAAAAAUGCUAAACAAUUCUAUGAUCUUAGAAUUCUUCAAAGGCCGGGGAAAAAAAAGCUUUGGAAUGCAUUUGAUGAACAUUUGGAGACAUUGAAAAGAUAAGGGUACCACAUUCAAACUUGAUGCAAUUAGCAUAUGGACAAGGCAACAAUGG